Sebastes umbrosus (honeycomb rockfish) is the source of this 485-nucleotide non-coding RNA. The record is from the annotation of a RefSeq genome assembly. NCBI's taxonomy places the organism in Eukaryota, Metazoa, Chordata, Actinopteri, Perciformes, Sebastidae.
GCAGAGAGCAGCCUGCAUCUAUUUAUGACCUUUAGGAAACUUUGCAAAGACAGAAACAGCAGAGAGAUGAGGAACAGAGAGUCUAAAGUUUCUACAUGUUCUUAGUCAGUCCACAGGGAGACGGAGCCUCUACCUACUCCACCUCAUCUCUCCCUUUCAGUUUCACAAGAACAGAGACUUCUGCAAACAAGUUUCUGACUCAGGCUGACAAAUCCAUGUCUGUUAGUGUUGGAGGGACCGUGAGCAUCAGCGCCACAGGGAGUUCAGAUAUUGAUGAUGAUCUCAGUUGGUACCUUCAGAAACCUGGACAGGCUCCCAAACUCCUUAUAUACCAAGCAUCAACUCUCUUCUCAGGGACUGCGUCUCGAUUCAGUGGCAGUAGAUCUGGUUCUCACUACACUUUAACCAUCACAGGUGUUCAGACUGACGAUGCUGGAGAUUACUUCUGUCUGGGCUACCAUGGUAGCUAUGUGUUCACACAGUGA